CAAUAGCGUAUAUUAAAGUUGUUGCGGUUAAAAAGCUCGUAGUUGGAUUUCUGCUGAGAACGACCGGUCCGCCCUUUGGGUGUGUAUCUGGCUCUUUCUUGGCAUCUUCUUGGUGAACGUUGCUGCACUUGACUGUGUGGAGCGCUACCCAGGACUUUUACUUUGAGGAAAUUAGAGUGUUUCAAGCAGGCAUACGCCUUGAAUACAUUAGCAUGGAAUAAUAAGAUAGGACCUCGGUUCUAUUUUGUUGGUUUCUAGAGCUGAGGUAAUGAUUAAUAGGGAUAGUUGGGGGCAUUCGUAUUUAACUGUCAGAUGUGAAAUUCUUGGAUUUGUUAAAGACGGACUACUGCGAAAGCAUUUGCCAAGGAUGUUUUCAUUGA
RNAcentral lists this ribosomal RNA (380 nucleotides) under uncultured eukaryote. RNAcentral's name for it is "partial 18S ribosomal RNA". It matches the Rfam family "Eukaryotic small subunit ribosomal RNA", at positions 592 to 976 of the family's 1831-position model. The record is from RNAcentral.